This 70-nucleotide transfer RNA is filed under the name Canis lupus familiaris (dog). It matches the Rfam family "tRNA". Rfam says of the family: Transfer RNA (tRNA) molecules are approximately 80 nucleotides in length. RNAcentral also lists the same sequence under 2 other names. Lineage: Eukaryota; Metazoa; Chordata; Mammalia; Carnivora; Canidae. The record is from Rfam by way of RNAcentral.
ACCUGGCUGGCUUAGUCGGUGGAGUGUGUGACUCUUGAUCUCGUUGUGGGUUCAAGCCCCAUGUUGGGUG